RNAcentral lists this transfer RNA (75 nucleotides) under Nanobdellota archaeon. RNAcentral describes it as "tRNA-Arg". It matches the Rfam family "tRNA". From Rfam's summary of the family: Transfer RNA (tRNA) molecules are approximately 80 nucleotides in length. Their secondary structure includes four short double-helical elements and three loops (D, anti-codon, and T loops). The record is from RNAcentral. Lineage: Archaea; Nanobdellati; Nanobdellota. RNAcentral also lists the same sequence under 1 other name.
GCUCCCAUAGCUCAGCCUGGAUAGAGCACCUGCCUUCUAAGCAGGGGGUCCACGGUUCAAAUCCGUGUGGGAGCG